Molecule: ribosomal RNA, 165 nt
Filed under: uncultured bacterium
Lineage: Bacteria
Description: partial 16S rRNA
Rfam family: Bacterial small subunit ribosomal RNA
Source: RNAcentral
UAGGGAAUCUUCGGCAAUGGACGAAAGUCUGACCGAGCAACGCCGCGUGAGUGAAGAAGGUUUUCGGAUCGUAAAACUCUGUUGGUAGAGAAGAACGUUGGUGAGAGUGGAAAGCUCAUCAAGUGACGGUAACUACCCAGAAAGGGACGGCUAACUACGUGCCCC